UAAUGGCUCACCAAGGCGACGAUCAGUAGCUGGUCUGAGAGGAUGAUCAGCCACAUUGGGACUGAGACACGGCCCAAACUCCUACGGCAGCAGUGGGGAAUAUUGGACAAUGGGCGAAAGCCUGAUCCAGCCAUGCCGCGUGAGUGAUGAAGGCCUUAGGGUUGUAAAGCUCUUUUACCCGGGAAGAUAAUGACGGUACCGGGAGAAUAAGCCCCGGCUAACUUCGUGCCAGCAGCCGCGGUAAUACGAAGGGGGCUAGCGUUGUUCGGAUUUACUGGGCGUAAAGCGCACGUAGGCGGAUCUUUAAGUCAGGGGUGAAAUCCCGAGGCUCAACCUCGGAACUGCCUUUGAUACUGGGGAUCUUGAGUCCGGGAGAGGUGAGUGGAACUGCGAGUGUAGAGGUGAAAUU
This 409-nucleotide ribosomal RNA is filed under the name uncultured Beijerinckiaceae bacterium. Its description in RNAcentral is "bacterial SSU rRNA". It matches the Rfam family "Bacterial small subunit ribosomal RNA", at positions 258 to 688 of the family's 1533-position model. Lineage: Bacteria; Pseudomonadati; Pseudomonadota; Alphaproteobacteria; Hyphomicrobiales; Beijerinckiaceae. The record is from RNAcentral.